Molecule: long non-coding RNA, 1888 nt
Organism: Cottoperca gobio
Lineage: Eukaryota; Metazoa; Chordata; Actinopteri; Perciformes; Bovichtidae
Exons: 3
Source: RefSeq, a predicted model, not a curated record
UGUUGCGCCGUCUAGUUUAGCUUUUUUCUGCGACUGACGAAAAUGAUAAAUGGAAGAUUAUAUAUCAAAACUAAGACAAUUCUCAAAACUGGACUUUCUUUCAAAACAGGAGAUGAUAAAUAAUGAAAGACCAACGCCGGAGAUAAAAGAUUUUCUUCAAACUUCGGGACAGAAGAUGACUUGCUCCUUUCAAACGGUCAUUCUCGGCUCGAAACAUACAGUCUGAAUAGGACUGAUCAAGGACGACUUUCAUCCCUGGCAAUACUCUCCAUUGAGACGGGGAGACUUGUAAAACUAAAAGAAGAUGAGGAGGACUUUUACAAAAAAGUGAUGGAGAUUUCUGUCCAGAAGGAUCGGCGCAUGGACUUCAUUUAAGGAGGUGAUAAAUAAUGAAAGACCAACGCCGGAGAUAAAAGAUUUUCUUCAAACUUCGGGACAGAAGAUGACUUGCUCUUUUCAAACGGAGAGACUUGUACAACUAAAAGAAGGUGAGGAGGACUUUUACAAAAAAGUGAUGGAGAUUUCUGUCCAGAAGGAUCGGCGCAUGGACUUCAUUUAAGCUCUGCCAAGAAUGCCGCUACUUCCCUUCUGAUGGACCAAAAGUGCUCCAACACCCUGCCUUUGCUGAGCCAUCUCACAUUGUUGUGCAGCAAAAGAUCAUCAGCAUUUGCAUCAACUUCUCUGAGGAAUUCCCUGAGCAUGUGAUGCCAAUAGGAAAAGGAUGCCCUGAGAUAAUUUAUAAUUUUCAUCAUUGUGUUCAUCACAUCAGCAUGCUCAUCUGACAGGGUGGCGCACAGGACAGAUUGAUGAAUUAUGCCAUGUAAGAGAUGAGCUCAGCAUUGUCCUCUUUCAUUCUUGCCACAGCUCCUUUCUCUCUCCCCAUCAUGGCAGGGGCUCCAUCUGUGGUUAUUGAAACGUGUUUCUGCUCUAUUCCUCGCUUUGUCAACAUCUCCUUAAUGGCCAGGUAGAUCUCCUCUUGUACUGGUGUGAAGGGGAGUAACACCUAACAGGUCUUCACAGAACACUUUAUUGUCUUUGCUGAAGAACCGUUUAGAAGAACCGUACAUAAACUAACAGCUGAGCAUUGUCAGAAACAUCAGUGGACUCAUCUACAGCUAAGCCUACACGCGGUGCCUUAUGAAGGGCUGAUUUAUUAUUUUCACUGCAACCACACAUUGCUGAUCAUCAUAACAUUUUAUUUUUGAGAGCGCAGAGAAUGCUGCUUCACACCGGUAUGUGGACAGAAACAUUGAGAUGAUGCGUCUUGCCAGUCUGGAGAUAUUUGGUAGAUGCCCCACCAGUUUCCAAAAGUCCACGACAUCUGUAAUCCGAAACUGACGCUGAAGUUCAUCUGAGCUCUUUAACUCCACGAACUCCAUUUGAAGCUGCACAAGUCCGAGCUGGUCGCUUAUUUGCUUCAUUUCAUUGACCUCAAUCAGGAAUGGGUUUUUCACAAGUAGAAAAAUAUUGCUAUGGUCCUUGAAGUCGUGGAAUCUUGAUGUGUAGUUUUGCUUGAGCUCAGUUAGCACGUCACAGAAUUGUGAUUGACAGGGCAGGAGAGUGUCUGCAUGCAUCGCCAUCACUUACUGCACGGUGGGGAAGAAACGGUAAUCAGAACCACGGACACUUUGUUCGACAUUAAGUUUGUUCAAGUGCUGCGUAAUGUCACACAGGAACGCAACAGACAGCACCCACUCUUUAUCAUCCAAAAAGGAAAAUCGGGAAGUCUCCCCUUGGCCGACAAUGAAGGAUUUCAGGGGUUCAAGCAGGUCCAUGAAAUGUGCAAGCAUACGUCCUUUAGACCAGUGAUUUUCAACCUUUUUUGAGCUGCGGCACAUUUUUUACACUUACAAAAUUCUGGGGCACACCACCAACCAAAAUGACACUC